AAAUAUCAACAGCCUCAGAUUUAGAGUGGUAUUAUCUGCAUAUCUGAGACUGUUGAUAUUUCU
This 63-nucleotide microRNA precursor is filed under the name Bos taurus (domestic cattle). RNAcentral describes it as "Bta-Novel-1_pre stem-loop". Lineage: Eukaryota; Metazoa; Chordata; Mammalia; Artiodactyla; Bovidae. The record is from RNAcentral.